AUCGGCUUCUAGGGUUUCUGGUGGUUUAACCUAGGGUUCUACUGCUAUCCGGUGGCUCGAUUCUCACUCAGUGCAUGUUUUGAUUCCUUUCCGACAUUCCUGACCACAUUUCCAGUAAGGAUUUCGAAGGUUACACCUAGGGUUUUGUACCUAGGGUUUUCUCGGUUGUUUAAAGGCUGAACUUCUCCGAUCGCGAAGAAGGAGGGUAACUCUGUCCUUAUCUUCGGUAUUAUAUGUGAUUA
RNAcentral lists this long non-coding RNA (242 nucleotides) under Nicotiana benthamiana. Its description in RNAcentral is "long non-coding RNA (NBEN_LNC016926)". The record is from RNAcentral. Lineage: Eukaryota; Viridiplantae; Streptophyta; Magnoliopsida; Solanales; Solanaceae.